GGUGGGCUGUGUCGAAUGGCAAGACACCAGUCUUGAAAACUGGGGCCCUGCAAGGGGCGUGCAGGUUCGAGUCCUGCGCCCACCG
RNAcentral lists this transfer RNA (85 nucleotides) under Candidatus Nealsoniibacteriota bacterium. RNAcentral's name for it is "tRNA-Ser". It matches the Rfam family "tRNA". Rfam says of the family: Transfer RNA (tRNA) molecules are approximately 80 nucleotides in length. Their secondary structure includes four short double-helical elements and three loops (D, anti-codon, and T loops). Further hydrogen bonds mediate the characteristic L-shaped molecular structure. tRNAs have two regions of fundamental functional importance: the anti-codon, which is responsible for specific mRNA codon recognition, and the 3' end, to which the tRNAs corresponding amino acid is attached (by aminoacyl-tRNA synthetases). tRNAs cope with the degeneracy of the genetic code in two manners: having more than one tRNA (with a specific anti-codon) for a particular amino acid; and 'wobble' base-pairing, i.e. permitting non-standard base-pairing at the 3rd anti-codon position. The record is from RNAcentral. Lineage: Bacteria; Candidatus Nealsoniibacteriota. RNAcentral also lists the same sequence under 1 other name.